This is a long non-coding RNA of Piliocolobus tephrosceles (Ugandan red Colobus), 825 nucleotides long. RefSeq lists it as uncharacterized. Lineage: Eukaryota; Metazoa; Chordata; Mammalia; Primates; Cercopithecidae. The transcript is spliced from 2 exons. The record is from RefSeq and is a predicted model, not a curated record.
ACAAAAUCACUAAGAGAUAAAGGCUAAAAAUAACGUCCUGUGGGGUGAAUCAACUCAGUUUGGGACCCUCAAGACAGCAACAAGGCAAGGAUGUGCGUAGGGCUACAUCUGCGUCAUCCUUCACAGGUGGUCGUGACCAGAAUCAAAAUGCCUGGGCAAGAGAGGAAGAAGUUCUGCAAACAGGUAUCCUGGACAGUUUCCCUAAAGAGGUAAUACUUUUUCACCAAGGCAUACACAUCCUCUUGCCCAACCUCCCCUGGAGAACAGCUGGAUAAAGUCGUGAUGGGUGUAAACCAUGGCUGAACACCAAGCUGUGAGCUAAAAGAAAGAACAGAAUCUAGAACCCAAGAGUAGAACAGGGGUCACCAAAGCAAGACCAAGACAGGAGCAGACCCAUUAGCUGAGUUGAAUCCAACAGACGGUGAAGCUGGAAACCUGACUUGGAACAGACAGGAGCAGGCAUAUGGACAAGUGCAAGGUCUGAAGAGGCCAGCAGUAGACAGGAACAAAACAAAAAGCUGACCUGCCAGGGGUCCAGAACACAGUCAUGCAGAAUGGGCAAGGAGUCAAAUUCAAGCAACCCCAAGGCUACAGCUCCAGAUGUGCUGAUGUUUCUGGGAAGGCAGGACACAAUCUCAAACAUUAUCUGACUUGGGACUUUUAGGUACAGUUAAAUGGAAAGUCCUGCCCAGAGAAGAGAAUGGUGUUUGGGGGGAAGCUAAUUCAGAAACUUCCGAUAAUUUAUUUUUAUAUCCCCAAAAGGCCAUGGCACAAUUGGAAGUACACAGUAAACACUCCAUAAACAUUUGUCGAUUACCUAAUAGA